RNAcentral lists this ribosomal RNA (424 nucleotides) under Verrucomicrobiota bacterium. Its description in RNAcentral is "Verrucomicrobia bacterium partial 16S ribosomal RNA". It matches the Rfam family "Bacterial small subunit ribosomal RNA", at positions 355 to 776 of the family's 1533-position model. Lineage: Bacteria; Pseudomonadati; Verrucomicrobiota. The record is from RNAcentral.
UGAGGAAUAUUGGUCAAUGGGCGAGAGCCUGAACCAGCCAAGUAGCGUGCAGGAUGACGGCCCUAUGGGUUGUAAACUGCUUUUAUGUGGGGAUAAAGUGCGUGACGUGUCAUGCAUUGCAGGUACCACAUGAAUAAGGACCGGCUAAUUCCGUGCCAGCAGCCGCGGUAAUACGGAAGGUCCGGGCGUUAUCCGGAUUUAUUGGGUUUAAAGGGAGCGUAGGCCGUUUGGUAAGCGUGUUGUGAAAUGUAGGAGCUCAACUUCUAGAUUGCAGCGCGAACUGUCAGACUUGAGUGCGCACAACGUAGGCGGAAUUCAUGGUGUAGCGGUGAAAUGCUUAGAUAUCAUGAAGAACUCCGAUUGCGAAGGCAGCUUACGGGAGCGCAACUGACGCUGAAGCUUGAAGGUGCGGGUAUCGAACAGG